Ornithodoros turicata is the source of this 332-nucleotide long non-coding RNA. RefSeq lists it as uncharacterized. The record is from RefSeq and is a predicted model, not a curated record. The transcript has 4 exons. NCBI's taxonomy places the organism in Eukaryota, Metazoa, Arthropoda, Arachnida, Ixodida, Argasidae.
GACACACUGAAAUACCUGGCACCACAUUCAGCACUGCUGAAUACACGUUACCAAGCACAAGUCAUCACGUGCAUGGUGUGUAUCCACUGCUGGGACCAAAGGCUAUGCCAGUGCCAACAAGUUAUGAGUUUCACAUCAUGGUGGCGUUUACGAGCAGUUGCAAGAUCGCCUGUCGUCAGCUCGACAAGCACCGCAGCAGGAAUCGUCAUUAACACGACUGACGCGUCUACCUUCUACUAGUCCUUUGGAACAUCAGAGCUUUGGUGGCCAAGAAAUGCGGCGCACAGAUUCUGCAAUGCAAAUAUCAGUUCACGUUCCUACCCAUGGAAAUG